This 77-nucleotide transfer RNA is filed under the name Clostridia bacterium. RNAcentral describes it as "tRNA-Arg". It matches the Rfam family "tRNA". Rfam says of the family: Transfer RNA (tRNA) molecules are approximately 80 nucleotides in length. Their secondary structure includes four short double-helical elements and three loops (D, anti-codon, and T loops). Lineage: Bacteria; Bacillati; Bacillota; Clostridia. The record is from RNAcentral.
GUUUCUGUAGCUCAGUUGGAUAGAGCGUUCGCCUCCUAAGUGAAAGGUCGUGGGUUCAAUUCCCGCCAGGAACACCA